CGCACAUUGCGCCCUUCGGUAUUCCGUUGGGCAUGCCUGUUCGAGCGUCAUUUAAACCUUCAAGCUCAGCUUGGUGUUGGGUGCUUGUCCUCCCCCGUGGUGGACUCACCUCAAAUGCAUUGGCGGCCUGUAUGUUGGCUUCGAGCGCAGUAGAAACGCGCCUGGCGUCUUGACAUACGGGUCCUCCACGAGAACCUUCUUAAGCUUGACCUCGGAUCAGGUAGGGAUACCCGCUGAACUUAA
Molecule: unclassified non-coding RNA, 243 nt
Filed under: Biatriospora sp.
Lineage: Eukaryota; Fungi; Ascomycota; Dothideomycetes; Pleosporales; Biatriosporaceae
Description: partial contains 5.8S ribosomal RNA, internal transcribed spacer 2, and large subunit ribosomal RNA
Source: RNAcentral